RNAcentral lists this long non-coding RNA (15878 nucleotides) under Nicotiana tabacum (common tobacco). RNAcentral's name for it is "long non-coding RNA (NTAB_LNC012112)". The record is from RNAcentral. Lineage: Eukaryota; Viridiplantae; Streptophyta; Magnoliopsida; Solanales; Solanaceae.
AACGGUUUUUUCCAAAAAAAUAUUUAUAGGAACGGUUAUUGUUCCCUCCUUAAUUUUUUCGUGUAGCCCGCCAGAUCUAGUACUCUCUCUUUAAACCUUUUUAUCUUUUUAUUUAUUUUUAAUAUGUAAUAUGUAAUAUAUAUAGUUAAAAUCCACAAUUUUUAUUUAUUUUCUAAAUAAAAGUAGAUGUGGCCUAGCUCCAGUUACGUUUUUUUCCAAAUCUGAACCCUUUUCCCUUUUCCUUUAUCUCCAAUAAAGUUUUCCCCCAAUACUCUAAUCCCUCGUACCCAUUUCCCCCUUUUCAUUUUACUCUAGAUCCAGUCAUAUUUUCCCCAAAUCUGAACCCUUUUCACUUUUCCCUUAUCUCCCAUUACGUUUUCGGUUUUCCCCAAUUCACUCUAAUCCAUCAGACCCAUUUUCCCCUUUUAAUUUCUCUCUUUGAAAUCCCUCAAAUCCAGUAGUCUGGUGAGAGAUCUCCAGAAGAUCUGUGUCCGUUUGCUAAUGACAUUCAGACUAUUUGCGCAUCAUCGUCGUAUUCAACCCAUGAACUCAGAAGUCGGUGAUUUCUAUAGCAAACGCAAAAGGCACUCCGUAAAAAACUGAUUUUAGUUGUAAGUUUUUCUUUUUCAAUUUGGGUAUUUUCUUCUUUAAUCGUUCCUUUUUUCUAUAAUAUUUAGGGUGUGGUAGUGUAUUUAAUAUCUUGCUUUCUAUUGUUUUUUUGAACCCCAAUUGUUAAGGUUUUAUUUUCGUUAGGUGUGGCUACUGCGAGUUUAAAUUUUUAGAACUAAUAUUCCUAUAGAAAAUCUGCCAAAGAUGACUUUUCAAAAAGGUCAGUCUUUUAGUUAUGUUUGCUUUUGACAUCUUGAAUUUAUUGACACUCUUAUCUUAGUCUAUUUUUCUGUAAUUGCAUUCACUCUAUAUUUGGAUUUUUCUAGAAAUUGACUCUCAAUAUUAGUACAUGGAUUUAUGCUAUCAAUUGGCAUAAACUAUGUUUCAUAAGGUCUUUGAGUUGAAUUUUGAAGCCACUCUAAGAGGGUGUAAUCUAUGAAAAUAUCUUAUCGUUCAUUGCUGGUUUGUCGAGUUGGUAAACCUGUUCUAACUUUAGAGUGUCAACUCCUGAGUUUUCGAAUGCUCGAGAGCGUUGUGGCUUAUGAUAUGGCGCUAAAGUCUUAAGGUAAAUGCUUAAAAAUUAAACUAGGUGUACUAACUCACUCAAAUCCAAAAUUUAUUUCGUGAGAUGAGAAUUGCCCAAAAUCAUAUUUGAAAAUAAUUAUUCAUUCGCUCGAUCGUGCAGGAAGACUUGCAUGAAGCACAAAAUGAGGAUAAGAAUGAAAUUGUAAUCAUCAUGCGUCUACUUGUUCCUAACAAUUUGGUUGGAUGCCUUUUAGGAAGAAAAGGCGAUGUUAUUCAGAAAUUGCAAAGUGAGAUUGGGGCAAGCAUUCAUGUUCAAUCUGCUGAGCAUCUUCCAGUUUGUGCUAUGACCACUGAUGAACUGGUCCAAGUAAGUUUCAUGUUCUUUUCUAUGGGUGCACAACUUAUUUAGUUUGAAUUGACAUGCUUUUCUGGAGUUCACAUGUUUUGGCAAUCAGUAGGGUUUGCACCAGUAGUUAAAAUUAUGUUUGUGGAAUUGCUUGAUUACUGGCAUGAUUUCUUGAUUACUAUUAAGAUCACAUUUUAAAGUUUAAUAUUGCAAGAUCGAAUGGAAUUGAAUUUGAGGAGGUCCCAUCAGAACUCUACAGAAUCCGACUUUGUGCGACUUGGCCGUGUUGAGGUGUAUUUUUUUUUGGUAAUCCGCUAGGCAAGUGGCUAGGGCUAGUUUAUAUAUAUAUAUAUAAAGUCAUACAAAAUGAAAAAGGUAAAAAUUAACAGUUACAUAAGUCCUAUUACCAACAUUUGUGUUGUGAUAACCAAUACUGAUAUCACAAUGUGCUACUGUAUGAAAAGGAUAUAUAAAUAGAAUAGCAUGUUUAAUCACUAUGAUGCUACAUAUGUAGUAAUUUUGCUUAUUUGCACGCUACUGAUCGUCAUUUUGACCCUUUCUCUUGUACUUGUCAACACUUGUGUAUUUUAACUCUAGUGUUUGAGCUUGCAUCCUAUGUCGAUGGAUCUUGUUUUUUGAGGACAGUAUUGUUUCCAGCACUGUCCAGCACCAUAUUGCUGGCUGAGUUUUUGAUUUUCCUCUCAGCAUAUCUUCUCUGGAUAGGUGAUUGUCUUUUCUUUGGUAUCUGGCAUUCAUCUCUUUGUUUCCUAUUGGAACUUUUGCAUUUAUUCCAUAUUAUGAUUGCGUGUAAGCAUGCUGCAUCAUAACAAUAUCCCUUUGUGCUUUGUCUAUCCCUUAUUGUUUCAUUCUGUGAUGCAUCGAGGUAGCUGUUGUGGUGUGUUCAAAUCUGCUGCCUGUGUACCUAUAGUCGUAUGGUGUCCACUUGCUUACUGUUGUGUACUCUUGACCAUGUACUACAUGUGAUGUUGUGAAAGAUUGUUGCACUGAAAAUGUACUCCAGAAUUCAUCCAUUUUGCCCAUCAUUUUACGAGAAAACCACCGCUAGCUUUCUUUUAGGUUACUUGCAUUUUUUGGUCUAGUUAUGAAGUGAUUUUUUUGGGCUGGUAUAGGAUACUUAUGUCUAAAUAGCUACAAUAUUUUGUUAAAUAUAGGGAUUUUACGAUUAUAGAAUAAAGUUGAGGAAGAGAGGUAAUUUGCUUUAUUUAUUUGAAAGGUCUAAACUUUGUGUCUUGCUUGGUCUUUAUCAUGAGUUUGUCAAAAUAUACUUGGACUUUGCAAUAUUGGACUUUGUAUGUUCUAGUUUUUGGUACAAUAUUUAUUGAGUUUACAAUAGGAAAGGAUAAAUCUGGUGCUUUUUCCAAUUAUCAAAGGCAGUGGAGGGGACUCCAUUAACAUCCUAUUCUUGCUUUUGGUGUGGAUGGAACAUGUAAAUGAGGUUGAAAUUGUUCUUCAGGUGCUAGAAUUAUUACAAGAUUAGUUUUUUGGGGCUUAUCCUUUUACUUUUUCUGCCUCUGUUAAUUAUUUAAAGCUACAAUAGCACAUUCUUAGUUCUGGAUUUAUAACAUUACCUUACCUUUUCAAAAGAAAUGUUUAGUAUGAAGAGUAAAUGUUGCACGUACUUUAACAUUGUCAAUGUAUUGAAUUAGUAUGGUAAGUUGAUUGCACUACUUAUUAUUCACUGUUGGUUAUUAUUUGAUUGACUCAUUUGCAAAAAAAAAGUUAUUAUAAUUGUUAUUCCUGUGCGCAACAUCAUCAACAUAUACCAACUGAUCAGGUGCUGGUGCGUGUAUAAUGUCGUAAUCUUUUCCCAUAUUCCAUAUAUAUAAUACCAUCUGGUCAUGAGUCGAUGUAACCGUAUAAAUGCAUGAAAAUAUGUUAAUAAUCUCAAUAUUCCUUUCGGAUAAACUUUAUCAACUAUAUAUUACUUUGAAACUCAUGAACAGAAGAUAUAAUAACAUGUCACAUGGGGAAUCAAGAACACAGAGACCCUUAGUAUUUCUAUGAAUAUAGUCGUUUAUGAAAACUGUGUGUUUGCUCGUUUCUUCUUUAUAACUUGUAUCAUGCCGAAGAGAAAGAAGGGAUAGCCUUAACAUACCUGGAGUAGGGAUUUUGUAAGAAUUUAGUAAGAAAUCACAUCUAACUGUGAUAUGGUUUAUGGCCGUAUACAAGUCACAUUUUUCGGCCGCAAUCAACAACUUGGUUUCCAAUUGAUGCAAUUGGUAUAUCUCCAGUGAUGAUAUCUUGCUAAUACUGACAACUAGUAACGAUCCAAAGAUUAACAAGGUGUUUGAUUUGCAAUUUGCAGUAGAUUUGCUUGGGUCCAUGGUGGUCGAAAUGUUUAACCUACAAUCCGUGUUGUAGAUAAAUCCAUUAAAUUGGAAAGUCUUGGAAUUUGAGGUAGGUGUCUUGACAUAAAUUUAUUAGGUUGCCACCUAUUAAAAUGACUAAGGAGUCAUUUGCCUUAGGUUGUGGCCAGCUGUCAUGUUUUUGGAAGGGUGGGGUAGGAAGUAUUAAUCUUUAUCUACUUAUUAGGUAAUUAAGUAAUGUUUCGUUAUCCGGUAAUUAACCAAUUACCCGCAUAAUUAAGAAUUAUCUCAAAUUACCUAAAAAUACUACUCAUUUUUUAUAAACUUUAUACAUCAUACUAUCACGGUCAUAUGGUACCUUGUAUGAUACUAGUCCAUAAAUAUCGGGUAUUAUCGCUUGACCCGUAUUUUAUCACAAAUCGGCAACCUUCAAUGAAACUCGUUUUCUUUAAUUCGUGUACCCUUUAUUCUUCAUGACACUUACUUAUCGCUUGUUAUAAAUAGCAUAAAUACGUUAACCUCAAGAUAAUCUCAUCCCUGAGUUUACGUCAAUUAACUGAAGACGAAACUUUUAACGUAUGAAAAUGUGAGAUGUAACAAUAAUAAAGCGGAAGUAGAUUUAGGAACCAUGAUAAAAUUGUAACGACUCGACUGGUUGUUUCAUGAGUUACCGCUCCGUUUUCCCUAUUUUUGCUUCUUAUUGCCUUGUUCAUCUGUAUUUUGUGUUAUCAGGUUGGUUGGCUCGGGUUCAGAGAGGUUUUGGUAAGGUUUGAGACACUUAGUCUCUUUUGAAGAAACUUAAAUUGAAAAAGUCAAGCAGAUGUUGACUUAUGUGUUAAAGAGCUCGGAUGUGAGUUCUGAUGGUUCGGAUAGCUUUGGGAUGUGAUUUGAGACUUAGGAGUGUGAUCGGAAUGUGUUUUGGAGGUACGGAGUAGAUUUAGGCUUGAAUUGAUGAAAUUGGAAUUUUGGCGUUUUCCGGUUGAUAGGUGAGAUUUUGAUAUAGGAGUCGGAAUAGAAUUUCGGAAGUUGUAGUAGGUCUGUCGUGUCAUUUGGGAUGUGUGUGCAAAAUUUCAGGUCAUUCGGACGUCGUUUGGUAGACUUUUUGAUCAAAAGCGUAAUUCAGAAGAUUUUGAGAACCUUAGGCUUGAAUCCGAUAUGUUUGGUUGAUUCGAUGUUAUUUGAGGUAUUUUGAAGAUUGGUAUAAGUUUGGAUAGUGGUAUAUGACUUAGUUUUGCUUUUGGUUGAGGUCCCGGGGGCCUCGGGGUGAUUUCAGAUGGUUAGCGGAAAGUUUGGAAGUUGGAUGUAGCAGUUGAGGCUAAGUUUGUUGUUAUAAUCGCACAUGUAGCUAGGGGACCGCAGGUGCGGGCUCGCAGAAGCGUAGAGGGAGCUGCAGAUGCGGCCAAGAGGAGGAUCAGCUGGAACUGCAGAAGCAGUAAGGGGAGCGUACUUGCGUUAGCACAGGUGCGGGCGGUGCAUCGCAGAUGCGGAUAUUGGCCCAUAAGUGAAAACCACAGAUGCGGUGUCUUGGACCGCAGAAGUGGUACCACAGAUGAGGUGGAUGGACUACAGGUGCGAAAAGACUGGGCCAGAAGGUAUAAAAGAGUUCCUUCUUGAUUUUUGAGAUGUUCUUCACCAUUUCAAGUGGGUUUUGGAGCUUUUUGGAAGAUUUUGAAGAGGGAUUGAAGGAAUAACGUCUGGAGGUAAGAUUUUUGAACCUAAUAAUCAAUCCUAAGGCAUUAUUUCACUAAUUUGGCCUAAGAUUAAUGGAAAUUAAGGGUUAAAAAUUAGGGAUUAGGGCUUGGUAUUGGAGACCUUGGCUUGAGGAUUUGAGGGGUCAUUUGUGGUCAGAUUUUGGAAUUUUUGAUAUGUAUGAACUCGUGGGGAGAUAAGGAAUCUAUUAAUGUAAAUUUUAUCGAAUUCCGAGACGUGGGCCUAAGUAUCGAGUUUUGGUUAGUUUCGGGAUUUAUGUUGUAAAUUCAUUACUUUCGCAUGGGCUUCGUUCCCUUAGCAUAUUUUGACGUCGUGAUUCUGAUUUUGGAUAGAUUCGAUGCAAGUUGGGGCCGAUUCGAGGGGCAAAGGCGUGUCGGGCUUGAGUUUGGAUCGGAUUAAGGUGAGUAAUGAUUGUAAAUAUUAUCUUGAGGGUAUGAAAUCCUGGAUUUCACAUCGUUUUGCUAUAUUAAGGUGACGCACACGCUAAAUGACGAGCGUGGGGUCGUGCACCGUUGGGAAUUGUGACUUAGUCCGUCCCGAAUGAUUGUUUUACCGCGUAUUUGAUUGAAAACUGUUUGCUAUCAUCAUGUUUUUGGCUGAAUACCAUAUUUGGGCCUCGUGCCAACUAUUUUGGACCUUAAAGGGUGUUUACUACUAUUCCUCACAGUUUUGAUUUUAGACUUGUACUCAGUCAUGCUAUAUUCUACUGUUUUCAUAACUCAGCCAUGCUUACUCUAUUUUAACACAUUAAAUGAUAUUUUAAAUGAUACUUUGGGCUGAGCAUUAUGUUUUACUGUUGCCCGAGUGACUUAUAAGAUUCUGACUGAGUAAGGCCGAGGGCCUAUGUUGUGAGGAUACUUUUGGGUUGGGCUGCACGUCGCAGUAGUGAUACACUGAUUUAUGAUUUUGAGGCCGAGGGCCGGAGAUUGUACGCCACAAGGUGGCUUGAUAUGAGGUUGAUAGCCUAUUGAUUAUGCCACGAGAUGGCUUGAUGUUGCGCUUGGGCCAUAAGGGGCCCCUCCCAGAGUCUGUACACCCCCAGUGAGUGCGGGUACCCAUUGUGAUAUGAGAUAUAGCUCGAGGGGUUGGUAUUGUCCCAUAUUAUUGCCCGAUGGGCUAAUUCUGUUGACAUUGGGCCCAAAAGGCGGAUUUUAUGUGUUUGUCUCUUCUAGCUACCUUUCAUUUACUUGUUUAACUGUUAAAAAGGUGUUUUAAAGAAGCUUAUACUGAACUAAGAUGUUUUUAUAAGAUUUCACUAUUUUAUUGCACUUUAUUGGUUUUACCCUGCCUCUUUAUAGCAUGUUAUUGUGUUUUUACGUGAUUUCUUAUCGCUCAGUCUUCAUUUAUUGUUAUUACUCACUGAGUUGGAGUAAUCACUUUACUCCUUGCACCCUGUGUGCAGAUUCAGGAGCUUCAGGUCCCGCCAGUGAGGGUUGAUUGCUCCCAGCAGGCCAUUCGGAGUCCACUAGGUAGUUGUCUGGCAUUCGCAGCCCAGUAUUUCUCCCUCCUAUCUUAUUUUCUUUUUCUAGUGAUUGUAUAAACUCUCUUUCAAACUCUUAGACUUAUGUUAGAUGCUCAUGACUGGUGACAUCCCGAUGUCAGACUGUGUUGGUUUCUGCAAAUUGUAUUUUCACUUUUAUUUUGGGAUUAUUAUCAUGUUAAAAACUUAAAUUGUGUUAUUUUGAUUGCUUAAAAUGAAUUGAGUAUUGUGUCGGCUGGCCUUGUCUUCACGAGAGGCGCCAUCACGACCGAGUCUGGGUUUAGGGCCGUGAUAAAAAUUGUUGUUAUCCUUACCAUGUCAUGAAAUAUGAACAAAAUAUAAUGCAGAAUGAUAUAAUAGCAAAUACGACCAUGAACAACUGCUAAAAUUCCCAAAAUCCGAUGUCACAAGUACAUGAGCAUCUAAUAGAAUAUAAACUACUACAACUAUUGUCUGGAAUGAAAAUAAACAGAAUAAAAUAAAAUGAUAUAAUAGCAAAUACGACCAUGAACAACUGCUAAAAUUCCCAAAAUCCGAUGUCACAAGUACAUGAGCAUCUAAUAGAAUAUAAACUACUACAACUAUUGUCUGGAAUGAAAAUAAACCGAAUAAAAUAAAUAUUGGGGGAAGGAGACUCUGGGUUUUGUGGAUCGAAGCACGGAAAACAGCUCACCACCAAGUCUCCGGCUAAUGCUAUUGUGCGCCUAAGUGACUACCCGGUGUACCUAUCACACUACCUGCACAAUUUUAGUGCAAACGUAUAGUAUGAAUACGUAAAUCAAUGCGCACCUAAUAAGUAUCUUGUUGACGCUAAGAAGUAGUGGCGAGGGGUCUAAAAUCGACACUUACUAGUAGUUCAAUGAAUGAUGUACAUAAAAGAAGACAAACAUGUAUCAUAGUAAGUAGCAACAUAAAUCAGAAAAUAUGAAUAUCAUGAUUAUCAAUAGAAGAAUAACUACCGAAUCGUACACUAUAAAAUCUCAAGUCAGGAAAACUCAUAUGUGCUCUAACACCCUAUUCAAUAUUAUGCAUGAUUAUGUCGAGACAAAUGACCUGAUCUCAUAAGAAUAGUGUCACAUAAUACCGUCGAGGUCGUAUGACCCGAUCUAUAGAUGCAUCUUGUGGUACUGCCAAGGCUAACGACCCGCUCCCAUAAAGAUAUUUCAUAAUACUGUCGAGGCGAACGGUCCGAUCACGUAAGAAUAGAGAAUCUUUCAUCAGGUCACUAUCUCACUCGCAAAGAUACAUGCGAUUCAAGAAAUUACUAUAACUACUGCUCACUUAAGCACAAUACAAAAAUAUGAAUGUAAGAGAAAGCCUUAUCCCAUCGAAAAUCAAAUAUCCAGCAAAAACGUAAAAUAACAAGGCUCGGUCAACUACGUAAAUUCUAGUUUUAUGCUCAGUUAUGAAUUCAAGUAAUCAACAGACAAGAUUAAUUCAAGUAGUAUAGUUAAGGCGUGAUGUAAGUCUACUUCUACCCGAACAUAACCAAGAAUUUUGCUAUGCACGGACACUCGUCACUUCGUUCAUACAUAGUAUCCAUAGCAUGUACCGCGUAACAAAUGUACUAUCUACGAGAAUAAUUUCUAUAUUACAAAAUUAGGCAAGAGACUGACCUUGCUCCCAAAUCUAUAUCCUUGGCUCCAACACUCUACUAAUACCCCAAGUCGAUGGUGAGCAACUCAAAACCAACCAGAGGAAUGUGCAAAUCAAUCAAUAUAUACUCAAGAAUUAAAAAUUUAACUAUUAGAAUCAAUUCAUAACCCCACUCCAAAAGUCAAGAAAAGUCAACUUCGGCCCCACGCGAUCGGAUUUCGAAAUUUCUUGAAGAUAAAUAUUACCCGUAGCAUCACGAACUCAAAUAUUUAAUUGAUUUUAUAUUUCAAGCUCAAUUCAUGUUCAAAUCUCAUUUUUGCCGUUCUAGUUUUUUCAACCAAAACCCUAUAAUUUUUACUAAUUUUCAUGUUAAAAACCUUACAUAAUUCAUAUAUUUAGCUCACAAUAAGUAAAAAUCACUUACCCAAUGCUACUUGAUGAAAAUGACCCUUCAAAAAGCUCUCAAAUCGCCCAAGCCAAGAGAAAAUAUGAUGUAAUAAGCUAAGUCCCAAAGUUAAAUCAUAUAUUUUGCCCAAACAUCCUUCAUCGCGUUUAUGGUAGAAGACGCGUGAUCGCGAAAGCCAACACUUUCCCUGCCCAGACCUUCCUCUUUACAUUCGCGAGCUCACAAUCAGUUUCGCAAAGGCCACUAGCCCCCAACCCUCUGCAUUCGUGGUCUCCUGUGCCGUGUUUGUGAAGACCAAACAUGCCAGAUGCUUCCCUUCCUUAUCCUUCUUCAUGCUCGCGUAGGCUGAUAAGUUGGUAUUUUACCAACUUAUCUUGUCUUUAAGUGUAGAUUUUUACUAUGUUUGAGUGAAAAAAUUGUGUGUUUAAUGUCAUUUACUUCUAUUCUAUAGAUUCUCUGUGAUUUAGAAACGAUCAUGAGGAAACCAAGUGAAAACGAGCCAAAAAGACGUUGAAAAGAUGAAAUUUGUAAAAUGGCCUCAGAUGCCGCUAUUGUGACAUCAAUGUGGCAAAUGUGAAGACACUAAAGGUCGUAAUUGCAUGGGAAGAAUCACAAAUGCGAAGUCAAACCAGACAGUCAACCUUCACAAAUGUGAAGAUCUCCAUCGCAAAUGCAAAACCAAGUGCACAAUGUCAAGUUCGCAAUUGCAAACAUAAGGAUCGCAAAUGCUAUGUGCAACAGUAACCCCUGGGUUCACAAUUGCAAAUAUCGUGCUUUAGUUCUUGGCACUUUUGUCAUUUCACAUUUUCUUCAUCCCAAACUCUUUAAUACACGACCUAGCUUAUUAGAAACAUAUCGUUGGCUUAUUUUUCAGUCUUUGGACUAGAGAAGAUAAGUUUUGGAGCUAGGAUUCUUGCACACACACUUGUGUCUUAAAGAUUUGAAGCUUUUGAUUGAGAAUUUCUUAGCCAUUUAUGUUCAUUUCUUCAUUUUCUUGAUUUCUAUCGUAUAUCUAAGUGUGUAAUAUUUUUUCCAACACUUGAAUCUAAUUUAUGGGAAUAUUCAUAUUUUAAGUGUCGAUUAAAUAUCUUGUUGUACUUAUGUAUUGAAUGAUUUAUAUUUAUUGUGAAGUGAGUUAUUUUUUUUUAUUCUUGUUUUUUGAUGUUUCCAAAGGGAUUAGCUAACCCUAAGACUUGCCCAUUUACUUCGAAUUAAUUUUGGGAAAGAUAAUUUGGGAUUGGGAAAGAUUAAUUAACAAGAACUUGAGGCUUUAACCCUCAUUUUAAAGAUUCUAUCUAGAGACAGGAUUGAACUACUUAUAACCAUAUUCGGGUGUGAUUAAUCUCUUAAUUAUUUUAGGGAUAAUUCAAUUAGGAAGUCUUGUUAGUCUUUGCAAGAAGCUAAUACAAAAUUAUUACCCAAGGCUAACUAACGUAGACUCACUCAUAUUUCUAAAAUUGUAAAAUACAUUGGAUCGUUACUUGAGUGCAAUUCAUCGUGUAUCCAUACUUUUAGCCAUUGAUCAUUUUACUUGCUUUUUAGGCUUGUUUACAUUUUCUCAUUUAGUCAUAAAUAUUUUCAAAAACCAUUCUAAGUGUUUGGCUUAGCAUAAUAAGUGGUAAUUCUCUUACAUGCCUAAUCACCUACAUAUUGUUUCUCUGUGGGAUUUGACCCCGACUCAUAGUUGGGUAAAUUAUAUUGCAUGUGAUUGUGUCCAUUUACUUUUUAGUAGUGUAUUUGGACGUCAUCAAAAUUGGCGCCAUUUUCGGGUAACAAUUUGGCGUAUUUAGGUUAUUUGAGAAGUAAGCGUAAGUGCUUUUGUCCAAACUUGUGAAUAUUUGUGUAAUUAUUUUCUUAUAUUUGCUUAUCUUAUUAUUUGUUUUUUUGUUUAUUUUCUUAGCUUUGAAAAAUGGCAUCACAUAAUAAAAAUUGAUCGGAUGGUAGUUGUUCAUACUUUGAUGACCCUUGUCCUUAUUUUGGAGGACCACACUCUUGGCAAAAUUAUUUAAGUUCUCCCGGGGGUGGAUUUUGCGCACAAUCUCAAACCAAAAUGGACAUUGGGAUAAUUGGGAUUAUUUGUCCUUCCCUUCCCUAAACCUCCACUAUGAUGAUUCUACUUUUUAUGAUAAUUAAAGUGGAAGAAAUUGAGCAUGGUCAAAAUGGAGAGUUCAAGCUCAUGUUAGAAUGCCUACUUGAAGGAGGAAACAAAGAGCAAAAGUCCUUGGAGGAGCUUUUGGAAAAUAGUCUCCAAAAUGAUUUGGCGCUUGAAAGGUUGAACUUACAAAUGAGAGAAAUGCUUGAAGCUUUAGAUAUCCAAAAAGCCCCGGAAGUGAAUGAUAGCCAUGAACAAUCCUUAUAGGAUUAAGCCGAAAAUCCUCCUUUGACACAUGAUCAAAAUCAAGAAGAACUUUCAAAUGCUCAACAUGAGAAAAUGAUGCUCAUGUUGGAGGCCAUUCUUGAAAAAAUGAGGAAAAGCAAAGCUUGGCACUCAAGAACUUAAACAAGCACUACAUCGAAAUGAUAAGACUAUCCGCACUUUGGAAGAUUAAAUGAAAUAAUUGAUUUAGGCUCAUUAUGUCUGUCAAUUUGAAAGCGUGGAAAGAGGUCAAGAAGAGUCCAACUUCGAGGAAGAAAGUGAGCUUUAUUUUGAGGAAUCAAGAAUUGAACAUCCGCCAAUCGACUCCAUGUUUCUUAGUGAUGCCAAGAAAAAUGUAGAAUAAGAGCAUAAUUGGCAAUUUGAUCUGCCAAUUGGUUGCCUUCUCUUAGUGUAUGUGGGACUUUCAAAGGACAUCUCCCCAUCAACUCCUUUAUUUCAUCAAUAUGCACUGCCACAGACCAUGGUGUACUCCAUUCCCCUUGAAUAACAUUCUUGACAAGAAUAGGAUCAGUUUGCAAAUAAACUAGAAUAUAGUCAUGCUUCACACAAUAUUUUAGUGCUUCUAGGAUACCUCUCACCUCAGCUUCUGUAUUUGUUCCUUUUGGUAUUUCCUUGCCACAUGCAUACACAACAUUGCCUUCUUCAUUUCUCAGCACAUAGCAUAAAAAACUCUUACCCGGGUUACCCCUCGAUGCCCUAUCUGUGUUAACUUUUAUCCAACCAUGUUUAGGAAAUUCCCAUAGCACCUUAGUGUAUUUCAAUUUUGGAGUAUAUUGUUCCAGCAUAUGGAUCAAAUCUGGCCACUUAUGUGGAACAUGUUGUAAGCUUGGAUUCCUGGCUUUAACAGGAUACUGGAGUGUAGUAGAUACCUCGUAAAUGACCCUAUUGACUGAAACUACAUCCCUAUAUUUAUAUCAGUUUCUCCUUUUCCAUAAUUCCCAAACUAUGAUUGAUGGUUAUGCCUGGACAAUUAGUUGUAAUCUUGGAAUUACCUGUGCAGUCCAGCAUUUCACCACAACUUGAUGAAAGGUCAAACCAUCAAGUUUAAUUCUUGCACAUGACAAGAAAUUGUAACGACCCGGCCGAUCAUUUUGAGAAUUUAAGUUCCGGCCAGUGGCAUAAGGUCUUGAGAAGCUUCAUAUUAUGUGUAUAGAAUUAUGUGUAUGGUUGAAUUCAUUUACCGGAGGAUUCAGAAUAGAAUUGGAAGAAGGAUUCUAGUUUUGGAAGCUUAAGCGGUGAGAAUUUGACCAGAAUGGGUUUUAGAUGACCUCAACAGGUUUGUAUGGUUAUUUUGGACUUAGGCAAGUGUCCGGAUUCAGAUUUUGAGGUCCGUAGGGUAAUUUGAGGCAUUUCGGCGAAAGUUGGAAAAGUUGAAGUUUAGAAAAUGGAGAAGUUUGACCCAUAGUUGACAUUCAUGAUAUCCAGCUCAGAAUGCGAUUCAAGAGUUGGAACAACUCCGUCUUGUCAUUUGGGACUUGUCUGCAAAAUUUGGCGUCAUUCCGGGUUGGUUUGAUUGGUUUCGACAUGAGUUUUCAAGGUUGGAACAUUUGGAAGUUUAUAGUUCGAUUCAUGGUGCGAUUUGCAUUUUCGGCAUUGUUUGAUAUAUUUUGAGACCUCGAGGUAGUUUGUAUUAGGUUAUAGAACUUGUUUGUGUAUGUAGACGGGGUCCCGAGGGCCUCAAGUGUGUUUCGCACGAGUUUCAGAUAUUUUGCAUGGUUUUGGAGCAUCUCUGAUUUCUGGUGUUUCCCGCUUUUAGGGGGAUCUACUAGAAUACCGCUCCAAGGUCGCAGGUGCGGCUCCGCUUUUGUGUUAGCCCGGCCGCUUCUACGAUCAUGAGGGCCUGGGAGCUUGCUCGCUUCUGCGGAGGCUGGCACGCAGGUUCGAUGGCCGCUUCUACGGUCCAACGAUCGCACCCGCAGAGAAAUCUCACUCCUGCGAUUUCCGUUUUGCAUCUGCGGUGCCGUUGAUGCGGCUGUAUAUCCGCAGAUGCAGUCCCUGGCCUGGUUAGCUGAGUUCAUAGAUGCGGACCCUUUCUUCAAAAUGCGGUCCCGCAGAUGCGCUUUCUUGUCCGCAGAUGCGGAAGUUCUGGCAAAAUCAUUUAAAUCGAGGGUUUGGUCAUUUUCUUCAUAUCUUGAGUUUUGGACUUUGAUUUUGAGAGCUUCUUUCUAGGUUUUUCAAACAAAUCGAUUGGGUAAGUGUUCCUCACCUAGUAUCUAAUAUAUUCCAUGAUUUUAUCUUCAUUUCUAUCAUUUGAUUUGUGUUUUGAGUUGAGAAAAGGGUGGAUUUUUUAAGAAUGUUUUCAAAAUGAAAAAUCAAGAUUUGCGGGACUAAAUGGUAUUGGAAUUUGAUAAAUUUUGUAUGGUUGAGCUCGUAUCAGAAUGGGUAUUCGGUUUUUGUAAAAUUUGUCGGGUUCCAUGGUGCUGGCCCGAGGGUCGACUUUUGGAUCGAUUUUUGGAUUUUGUUAAAGAUUGAGACUUUAUGGUCCGUAAUAGUUUCUUAUGAGUUUUAUUUGUGCUUUAAAGUAAAUUUGGUUAGAUUUGAGCCGUCCGGAGGUCUUUUCACUCACGAAGUGCAUUUUAGAGUAUUAGUUUGUCAUGUUUGAGGUAAGUAUCUUUCCUAACCUUUUGUGAGGGAACUUCCCCCUAGGAUUUGAGUCUUCUAUGUAAUUGUAGUCCGUGUACGCGAGGUGAUGAGUGCGUGCUCGGAGUUAUAUGUGGAAGUUGGACUUUAGGGUUCUUAGGUCCUUAUAUUCACUGUGUAGGAAGUAAUUCUUGAUAUGACUGAGUUCCUGUCUGCUAGUUUCACAUCUACAUGUUUAAAUUAGAAUUUAUUUCUUUAGUAUUCACUCUUAUUGCCUAUUUGACUUAACUGAAGAUUUUGCCUCUUCUAUCGUCAUACUAUCUUUUCAUAACUGCUUAUCUUUAAUUGAAAUUGUUAUUGGCUUAUCCUAUAAUUGUUUAGUCUUAAUUGGAGUGAUGAUUACCUGUUGCUGCUUACCAUUAUUUGAAUUGUUGAAUAUCUUUCGCAAUUGUUCAACCUUAAAAGGAGUUUAUAUAAUCUAUAUCUUAGUUGACUCGCCUUUAUUUGGAACUAUUUAACUCGGAUUGACUUCCUUAUUGUUGACUUGUAUAGUGUGGAGUCGUCGCUACUUGUUAGUCUUUUUCCUUAUUGAAUUUUUCCCUUUAUGCCUUGCAUUCUUUACUGUGGUUAUUCCUUGUGAAGUGGUUCUACCGUUUCUUUGUGAUUUAAAGUCCUUGAGUUGAUUUACUCGUCAUACCAUAUAUUAUUGUCAUUUUUGCUGUUGUACUUGUUGUGGUGACGUACGAGGAUUCUGCCGUGCUGUAACUGUUAUUUCUGUUGGUUUCGCUAGAUAUUUACUUUGGGACUACGGGACGGUAUCCCUGUAGAUCCCCAUGUUCUGCAUAUUUACUUUGGAACUAUGGAGCGGUAUACCGAGAGAUCCCCCUGUACAUUUACGUUUGGGACUACGGGACGGUGUCCCGGUAGAUCCCCCUGUUCUAUAUAUUUACUUUGGGACUACGGAAUGAUAUUCCGGUCCAGCACAUUUACAUUUGGUACUACGGGAUGAUAUCUUGGGAGAUCCCUUGUUAUUAUCAUUGUGUUUUGAGCUGUGUUUUUCAUUGAUCCUAUCCCUGUGUAAAUAUUCUACAUGUUGUCUGUUCUUUUCCUUAAGCUUACUAGUUGGUAUGAACUAUGUUAGGAUACUUGCACAAGCAUACACGUGGCUAAGCACCCUUAUCGGAUAAGAGGUUUCCUUGAUAUUGUUGAGUAUAGAUGCAAACCCUUGUUUAUUCGCCUUUCAUGUGAGAAUGGCUCUAUUUGGCACGUGAAUUGUCAGUAUGAUUAUGAGGUGUGAUGAGGGCAUAGGUUGCCAAGUGUUAGGGUUAGGUAUUGAGACCCGUAUUGUAUGAUUAGGAGUUGAGGUGUCAUAGGGUGACUUAUCUUCGAAAGAUAUUUAUUUGAAAAGAUUAUAUUCGAAAGGUAUUUAUUUUGAAAGAACUAUUUUUGAAAAUAUUUAUUUGGAGGAAGUAUAUUUCAAAUUAUUCCAUCACUUGAAGGAUUUGACUAAUUAAUUGAAGUUUGUUGGCUAAGACCUAAUGUGAAAACCGCCGUAGUUGCUAAGUUAUGACUUGUCUUUACUGCAUUUGUGAUUUCGAAUUUGGGUUGUAUUUCCGUUCUCUUUUAUGUGUUCUUAUUAUAGUGUUCCGGUGUUACUUGCUGUUUUCUUUCCUUAUUGAAAUUGCAGUAUUGUUAGCCACACUGCAUAGUCUUUAUAUAGAUAUCAGGUUUUAUUGUUUCUAUCAUUAUACUUGUUCAGCAUAUUAUACCAGCAGGUGUCUUGACUGUUCCUCGUCACUACUCCACCGAAGUUAGUCUUGAUACUUACUGGGCACUGUUGUGGUGUGCUCAUACUACACUUUUGUGCAUUUUUGUGUAGAUCCAGGUAUUGUUCGUUAGUAGCUGUGCGGGUUCUUGCCGAG